UCACAUGUGUGCGAGUAAUCUCAUCCCGUUGCCUAUAUAUACUUGCAUAAACCAUUCCCCUAAUCUCAUGUUAUCGAGUCGUCAUCGUCGUCGUCAUCCGUCUACCUGGGCAAUCUCAACAGUUGAGUGUGCGAGCGAGCAUAAUAGAUAGAUAGAUACCAAUGGCGGAGAUGGGAGCAGAGGCGGCGGUGCAUUACCGAGGGGUGAGGAAGAGGAAGUGGGGGAAGUGGGUGUCGGAGAUCAGGGAGCCCGGGAAGAAGAGCAGGAUCUGGCUGGGGAGCUUCGAGUCAGCGGAGAUGGCGGCGGUGGCACACGACGUGGCGGCGCUGCGACUC
RNAcentral lists this long non-coding RNA (335 nucleotides) under Musa acuminata (dwarf banana). Its description in RNAcentral is "long non-coding RNA (MACU_LNC003159)". The record is from RNAcentral. Lineage: Eukaryota; Viridiplantae; Streptophyta; Magnoliopsida; Zingiberales; Musaceae.